UCUUCUACACGCUCUACCACUCGCUGCACCACUACAAGUACCACACGUUCCUGCGCUGCAAGGACGAGACGACGGCCAUCGAGGGGCAGGACGAGGACCUGGGCCAGGAGGAGGUGGUGCAGCAGUGCAUGCGCAACCAGGCCUGGCUCGAGCGCCUCUU
Nothoprocta perdicaria is the source of this 160-nucleotide long non-coding RNA. RefSeq lists it as uncharacterized. The record is from RefSeq and is a predicted model, not a curated record. Lineage: Eukaryota; Metazoa; Chordata; Aves; Tinamiformes; Tinamidae. The transcript has 2 exons.